Molecule: unclassified non-coding RNA, 7237 nt
Filed under: Leishmania donovani
Lineage: Eukaryota; Euglenozoa; Kinetoplastea; Trypanosomatida; Trypanosomatidae
Description: gene:LdHU3.21.2060(CDS-product:hypothetical_prote in_conserved)
Source: RNAcentral
UACUGAAUGUGUUAAGUCAGAAAGAGAAUCAUCGGCAGCAGCAACCACAGCGACGCCAGAAAGAAAAAGCGAAACCAGAAACAAAUCCUUAGUGCCCAGGUGUUGUGGGUUGUGGGGGCUAUCGCGUGCAACCUUGCCCGUGCGUACGUGUGUGUGUGUGCCCGAAGUCGAGAAGCAAAGACUUGUUCUCACUGGUCGUAUGUGUGCAAGCGCACAUGCACACAGACACACAGACAUCGAACCAACACGUCAGCAUCGGCAAGGCCAACAACAUACUGCGGCACCAAGCCAUUCAACGAUUCGAGGUAGCCGGAAAGGAAAAGAGAAGCAAGCGCGAGAGGAGGCGCAGGGAGAAGAGGCCGCCGCAAACGAAGCGAAGCUGCGUCUACCCUCCAACCCACGCGCCCCUCGCGUGGGGAAGAACGAGGCAAAAAUACAAAAAAUAGAGGAGGAGAGUUAGCGACACCGGCGCGGCUUGGUGAGGACGCGGGAGAAGGGCCACUGUUUCUUCUCUCGCUCACACCGGCCCGACCUCUCAUCGCCGCCAUACUUUGCGUGCGUGCGUGCGGGCCGACGACUCUCCCCUCUCUCCCGCUCGUUCUCUCUUUCUCCGCUAUUUUGCUUCGGCGUCACUUUCCGCACCGGUUGUCUCUCUUUGAUCGCGCUGUCACCUCUCUAUCACUGCUUUCUACUGCGCGUCCGCGUGCGCGUGGACACUGUCCUCUCUCGCAGGUCUCUUGUCGUUGGUUUUUGCUUGUUGUAACUCUCGCCUCUUGUGUUUGCUACCUCACUGUGUGCGUGCUGCUCCGCUUAUCUGUCAGGCUCUCUGUUUUCUUCUUGGCUCUUCUGCUUUCCUAGCCACUUGUGUUCUUCUUUGUCGAGCGUGUGUGUGUGUUUUGUUGUUGUCAUCUUCUUGCUUGCCUCGGCUGUUGUACGUCCCUCUCCGCGUGUGCGUGCGUGUGCCUCUCUGCUCUUUCCGUGUCCGUCCGCCCCUGCAUUUCUGUUUUUUUUGCUGUUGUUUUAUCUUUUUCUCGCUUGCUGUUCUCCGCUCUCACGCACGCACACAUACGCACCUCUAUAUCUAUAUAAAUAUAUGUAUAUAUAUAUCUACGUAUAUAUAUAUAUAUAUCUUUAUACACAUAUAUAGAUAUAUCUAUAUCUCCCCCUGCGGCACGCUGGCUGUUGCAACCCAAAUCCAUUCUCGUGCGUCGGUAAGGAGAGGUGGUGUGCGUGUGUGUUCUCGUUCUCUCUUGGUUUUCGUGCUUCGUUCGGCUCCCUUGUUGCCUCUCCUUCUGUUGCUGUGGAGCAGGCUACUCCACGACUGCGCGCGCGCUCUCUCUUGCCCUCAUCUCCGUUCUUGAUCUGCUUGCUGAACCCUGACUUCUUCUCCACACGUGGGUCUCGUUGCCUCGGAUUCGUGUCUGUUUCUCUGUGUGUGUGUGUGUGUGUGUCUGCUUGCGUGUAUGCGUUUUUGAUUUCUUUGCGCUGGCACAUUUCCGCUUCUCUUUUUCAUGGUCGUCAUCCUCAUCCCACACCUUUAACACCCCCACUGCGCGUCUUCCGUUCAUGUUUAGAGUGUGUUGUUAAAUUGGUUUCAUUUGUCGCGGGUGUCUCUCACGCCGUGCGCCCGUCUCUGUGUGCCCGUCCGUUUCUCUGCACGCGCAUGCGUGCCUCUUGUUCGUGUUGCGUUUCGUGCUAUCAUCUUUUCUUUGGUUUUCGCUUCCAAGAAGCCUCUGCAUUCUCUCUCGCCCCCCCCUCCCCAACCCACCCCUUCCCUUGUCUCAUCGGUGUGUUAGGUAUUCGUCUCUUCAGCGUCUCCGCUACACCCGCACACACACACACACAUCGCAUCUCUCCCCUCUGUCUUCCCUUCGUCCGGCUUGUACCGAGUGUCGUUGCUUUCUUGCCCCCCCCCGUCCACCUCCACCUGCCUGACUACUCUCUGCCUCUUCCUGUUCAGAUUUCGAUUCUCCUAACGUGUACCAUUAUCCCUCCCUCUCUCUCUUCGAAGACGGCGACGCUAAGGCAGAACAUCUACGUGCCCCCUCGAACCUGUCUCUGACGACGGUCCCUGCCAAGCGUCUGCGGCCACCCACUUCUUAACUUUUCCUUUUUUCCCCUUUGCUUGGCGGUGUGUCCGUCGCUGUCCUGGCGCGUGCUUCGUGGGUCUGUCGGUGCUGCCCGCCCGCCCGCCCCCGCUCUCUCUCUCUCGUACUUCCUUUUCUCUGCCAUCUCCAUCUGCGGCGUCUUUGCGGUGCCGAGUUGUUCGUCGACCCCCUUUUCGGGCGCCUCCACACGCGCAGAGACUCACUGAAAACGCAGAGCGGGAGCGGCCACACACGUACACACACGUAGGCGCGCGCACACACACGCAACGCGUACAAACUUGGAGAAGCGCGCGCACCUCUCGGUGCGAGUUGCACGCUUGCGUUCUCUCUCGGACACCCGUGCAAACGGAAGGAGUCAUCCGUGAGGAGGCCCCCAGCGCUUCGCCGCUCGCGUGACCGUCAAGCCUGCCGUCGCCUCGGCCGUCACCCCCUGCUGAUGAAGGUCUCCGCCACAACUUCGGCAGCGGCGGCGGCCCGCCGAGGAGAUGACUGCGGACAUCAUCACCGCCAUCACCGCCAUGAUGGCGCUGUUCCUCGCCGCACCGACGUGGCGCAGCACACGUGCUUCUACUUUACUGUGUUCUUUAGCAACAACCCGCCCAUCUUUCACUCGAACCGCAUUCCACCGGAGAGGCUCGGCAUGAGGGCAGUGGUGUCCUCCACCACAGCGCGGGAGGAGGUGAGGCAGAUGGCGAGCAGAACGUCGUCCGUCUCUCUGUCCGCGGCGGCGGAUGGGUCGGCAAGCAGCGCGUCGCCGUCUUCUCCCUCCUCGCCGUGCACCGGUUGCCAGCAGCGGUACUGGAAGACCGUGUUUGGGGAGCCCGAAGCGGACCGCGCCGCACGCCCUGGCAUGGGACACCCCUACGCAAAUGGCUUCUACACCGCUUGGGCAGAGGCAGAGGAGGAUCGAGACGGCGCCACGGCUCUUGUUGGGGACUACCGCAGCGCCACCGCAACGGUGGAGGAGGUGCCACAGCAAACCCUACAGAAUGUGGCGUUCCCUACGGCGUUCGGCAGCUGUGGGGGGGCAUGUAUGUUGCCAGUCCGAACUUGUGGCCGUCGCACACGAAGUGCGUCCGCGGUGCCGUCGCCGAAGAUGGCUCUGCCGGCAGAGGCAGCCUCGCCGCAGGCGUCACCACCAAAGCCGCAACCUGCGCCGCCGCAGUUUCCGAGCGCAGCGGACACUGAAAUUGUGAGGGCAGCCGAUGCUGAAAAGUCGGCGCAGGAGGCAAGCAGCGGGUGUGCACAGAAGCGUGUGGCCGAGACGCUCGCCAUAUCCUCAGCGGCGACGGGCAAGGCCCUUGGCCCAUUCUCCCCGACGACGUACACCCUUCCCAUCCGCUGCACCGCCACGCUCGCGAAGGACGCAUCGCCAACAGAAACGGUGGCUGGGGCACCGACUAUACCAGAUCACUGCAAGCCCACGCUCCCCGCGGCCAAGUGGGAAGACGAGGACAAGGCAGCGGUGCACAGUGCCCACAAUGAAGGUGCCGCGGCCAGCACUAUCGCUACUGAGUCGCGGAAGCAGCUCGGUCAAGGGCGCACACGACUUGCGCGACUGCACAUGGGCACUGAUGCAGUGACCAACAUCGCUGAGGGUGAGGCGCCGCCGACCCCGCAACAACGGCCGACGCCUACUGCAGCUCCGGCUGCUGCGCUCAACGCCUCGUCCAUCACACCAGCACCCGCAGCACUUGAAAGUAGCACCGCCAUCAACGGCGCUGCUUUGCGCCCCGUUGCCUACACGUCAGCCAGUCCGCGCACCAGCAUCAACGACACCGGCUCCGCGGCUCUGGCAGCUAGCGCGUCGAUUCGGGAGGGGCCGCCGUGGAACAUGAGAGUGGAGGAAGUGCGUUCCGCCAAGGGUGAGCUUCGCUACUACCGCAUCAUCCUCACAGCCUCCUUCGCCGCGCUUGUGACGACGCACAUUGGCUUGAUGCACUCCAUGCAGACACGCAACGCGGCCGCGGCGCUGGUGGUUCUAUGCCCUCCAUGCGGUCUGCACUUCCGCUUCCUCCUGCAUCACGCGGACGUCCUUCGUAGUGUGCUGAACCGCACCACCGAGUUUGCGAUUCGCACUGUGCAACGCUUUUUCUGUCUCCUCUACUCGCCCACGCAGAAGCCGAAAGGCUCGCAGCAGCAGGUGCUGAAGGGCAUUGCCGCGCUACUCGAGGCACAUCCAGAGGGGCUUGAGACGUACCGCGCCGUGAAGACGGAGCUGACGAACGCGCUGUGCCUUCGCUUUCCUCUCCCGAUGCUGGCGCCUGCGACGUCGGCGUGGGCGGUGCCAGUGCUGAUGCGGUCGUCCCUCUUCACCGUCCGAACGCGGUCGUUUAUAAAGCGGGCGUCGGCAAAGUCGCUUGGCCGGCCGGGUGACGCGUCGUCGAGGUUUGCGAGUGGGCCGAGCGCAGACGACGCAUCUGCCUCGGUACGGAAACGGUCCGGUGCCGGUGCGCCGCCUUUCGGGUCUGCUUGCUCCCCACCUUUGCUCUUGGAUGAAAUCCUGCACGAGGCCGCUUCCUUCGUACGCGAGUACAGCGAGGGCUUCGCGAGCGCCUUUAUCUGCGGACUGCUGUCCUUGACGGAGGGUGCAGUCGGCAGUGCAGGUCUGCGUUCCCGGCGCAGGGUGAGCAACAACGCCAGCAUCACCGCCGGUGCGACGGCGGCGACGCCCGCCGUGAACGGCCUAACCAGUCCCGACGUGAGCGGCGUGCCUCCGUUGCCGAGCUGCGCGCAGAACGGCUCGUCGCCGAUCGCAGCGCAUGAGACGUCACCUUAUUUUGCGGGUGGCGGCGGCGUAGCCGCUGCUGGGCCGAGAGGUGCGCCAGCAUGGUUGUCUCCGUACGCGGCCUACUGGAGCUCGAUCACGGACAAGUGCGGCCCACUGCACAGCGGUGAAGACAGCCUCAUCGACUUUGGCAAACCCGCCCCAAUCACAUUAGAAGGCUACGACCGCGCAAGUAGCAGCAGCUGCAGCGUAGAGCACUUGGACGCCGACGCGGCGCUGACGGCGCACGUAUCGGCUAGCAAGAUCACUGCAAAGACACCGGUCGUCAGUCCUCUGAGGAUCGAUGCGGCACACGCCGCAUCGAUGCCGUCUUACAGCCCGGAACACCAUUUUCUCUGUGAAGAGAACGGUACGGAGGCGGCGGCAGACCCCGCGGUGCACCUUCCUUCUGCAGGGGAUGGCACCACCGCUGUGCCACUGACCUCCAAGGCAUCGCCACCGAUAGUGGUCUCCGAGGAGACCUUCUUCACCCCCGGCGCCCACGCGGUGAUGGCUCUCGGUAGUGUCGCGAGUAGCGACACCGUCGCGGCGCGUUCGCGCAGCGAGGAAAACAGCCCACAUUCAUCGGCGGCACCUCGCACCGCAGCGGCCCCAGCUGGGGCACCGUCAGCUGCUGCAGCUGCACCGCGUCUUCCGCCGAAAACGGCAGGCAGAAGCACCACACCAUCGACCGCGAAGGAGGACGAGUACUUGCUUUACGGCGGCCGGCUAGGUCGCGUUGUUAUCUUCACCCGGGACGCUGUCCUGGCUCGCCAGCUGCUCGUUAUCGCGGCGUUCCUGUGGAGCGGUUACGACUGCGGUGCUGCGACAGGGAGAGGCUUAGCGGCGCGAUCUGGUGCACCAGGCAGAGCCGGCGCCAGUGGGCAGCAACGUGUAGCCCGCAGCGCCGCCGAAGACGUCGCGCUCCGUAACCAGGAGGCACAGCACAUGUAUGAGACGGCGGUGGCCGCUGCCGUGUCCUCGGCCGAAUACGCCAAUGUGCCGGUGCAGUGGGUUGCGGAAGAGUUCAGCGAGGACUGCCUCAGCACCCUAUGCUCCCGCUUCAGCCCAGAGAACGCGCUUCUAGUGGUGGUGCCGCGCCAGCUGCAGUGCCGCCGUGUGUAUCUGCGCAAGUACGUGACGGGCACCACCGUGCUGGUAGAGGAACACAGCGGAAAAGGCGCGAGGAUCUGCACCACACCAUUCCCCUUCCGCUGCUCCAUCUCGAAGCAGGUGGUCGUGCAGCCGGACCCGACCGUGACGACUUUGUUGCGAGAGGCUUGCAGUCUGCAUCAGAACAGCCACGGCACCGUGAGCUUCGCCGACGUGUUCCAGCGAAUGGUUGGGUGGCUCCACUGGCAGUCGGCGGCGGCGGUGCUGUCGCGAACGGCGGCCGCCGUGCGAGCUGCAUCCGCUGCCACGAUGGCGAAUGGCUCGUCGCUCACGCGACUCGUCAGCUCCGAUGCGGUGUGGCCGUCCUCUGACGUCUCCAUCCGCUCCGCCUCUGCUUCUUCCGGAGCGCGGGAGAACAACAAGAGCAGCCACAUGACGACGCCGGUGGCCACGUCGCCGGAGAUGCGGCUCACACGCAGCACGAACAAGUCGGCCUCCUCGCCAGUGUACCACUGCGAUUCCUCGUGGGAGCCCGAGUCCGUGGAGGAGAACCUGCUACCUGGCAGCAUGGGCGGCGCAGGCACGUGGUCGCACAGCGCAGGGGCAAGCGCGCAUGUCACCGGCGGCGCCACUGCAACCGCGAAAACUGCAGCCUUACGCGCCGGGGCGAUGCCCGCGACGUCGAAACUGCUUGUCUCCCAUGGGCUUCUUCAGCCGCCAUCUGCCUUCACCUCCGCCUCGCACGUGGUCGCGAGCCCCGUGAAGACGGCCUCAUUCAAACUCUUUCAAUGGCUCCGGUCAAGUCCGACUUCGCCUUGGGCUGCGACCACGCGCAGCCACCCCAUCCUGUCGCCGGCCACGCUUGGCCAAAUGCAAGGCGCCGAUGGCGUUGUAGGAGGGCAGCGGUCACGCCUUCUUGCCGGCGAUGACGACGAGGAGGACGUCCUCACUUAGGGCAGCUGCUCGCUGCGUCUGAAGGGCCGCAGGGCAGUGCCAGGGGGAGGAGGAGGAGGAGGGAUAGAGGGCAGUCAUGCGUACGCUGUCCACGCGCACCAGUGGCGGUGGAAAUACUGUUGGGGGAAGUUUGCUCGUAACCCCCUCUCCCUCCCCCCACUCGCCCCUUCUGAGUCCACGCCGAAAGACAAAGGUCCCAAGCGAGGGCAGCCGCGGCUCUGUGCUCCCCUGCGCGGUGCCCUCCUCGCUGUCGUCUAAGCUUGUCUGUAUGCCGGUACACGGUACACGUGCUUCC